Molecule: ribosomal RNA, 489 nt
Filed under: uncultured bacterium
Lineage: Bacteria
Description: partial 16S ribosomal RNA
Rfam family: Bacterial small subunit ribosomal RNA
Source: RNAcentral
UUGAACGCUGGCGGCAGGCCUAACACCUGCCAGUCGAACGGUAACAGGAAGCAGCUUGCUGCUUUGCUGACGAGUGGCGGACGGGCGAGUAAUGUCUGGGAAACUGCCCGAUGGAGGGGGAUAACUACUGGAAACGGUAGCUAAUACCGCAUAACGUCGCAAGACCAAAGAGGGGGACCUUAGGGCCUCUUGCCAUCGGAUGUGCCCAGAUGGGAUUAGCUAGUAGGUGGGGUAACGGCUCACCUAGGCGACGAUCCCUAGCUGGUCUGAGAGGAUGACCAGCCACACUGGAACUGAGACACGGUCCAGACUCCUACGGGAGGCAGCAGUGGGGAAUAUUGCACAAUGGGCGCAAGCCUGAUGCAGCCAUGCCGCGUGUAUGAAGAAGGCCUUCGGGUUGUAAAGUACUUUCAGCGGGGAGGAAGGGAGUAAAGUUAAUACCUUUGCUCAUUGACGUUACCCGCAGAAGAAGCACCGGCUAACUCCGUG